RNAcentral lists this ribosomal RNA (497 nucleotides) under uncultured bacterium. RNAcentral describes it as "partial 16S ribosomal RNA". It matches the Rfam family "Bacterial small subunit ribosomal RNA", at positions 28 to 507 of the family's 1533-position model. The record is from RNAcentral.
GAUGAACGCUGGCGGCGUGCCUAAUACAUGCAAGUCGAGCGAACAGACGAGGAGCUUGCUCCUCUGACGUUAGCGGCGGACGGGUGAGUAACACAUGGAUAACCUACCUAUAAGACUGGGAUAACUUCGGGAAACCGGAGCUAAUACCGGAUAAUAUAUUGAACCGCAUGGUUCAAUAGUGAAAGACGGUUUUGCUGUCACUUAUAGAUGGAUCCGCGCCGCAUUAGCUAGUUGGUAAGGUAACGGCUUACCAAGGCAACGAUGCGUAGCCGACCUGAGAGGGUGAUCGGCCACACUGGAACUGAGACACGGUCCAGACUCCUACGGGAGGCAGCAGUAGGGAAUCUUCCGCAAUGGGCGAAAGCUUGACGGAGCAACGCCGCGUGAGUGAUGAAGGUCUUCGGAUCGUAAAACUCUGUUAUUAGGGAAGAACAAAUGUGUAAGUAACUAUGCACGUCUUGACGGUACCUAAUCAGAAAGCCACGGCUAACUACGUG